GACGAACGCUGGCGGCGUGCUUAACACAUGCAAGUCGAACGGACCCUUUGGGGUUAGUGGCGAACGGGUGAGUAACACGUGGGUGAUCUGCCCUGCACUUUGGGAUAAGCCUGGGAAACUGGGUCUAAUACCGGAUAGGACUACGCACUGCAUGGUGUGUGGUGGAAAGCUUUUGCGGUGUGGGAUGGGCCCGCGGCCUAUCAGCUUGUUGGUGGGGUGAUGGCCUACCAAGGCGACGACGGGUAGCCGGCCUGAGAGGGUGACCGGCCACACUGGGACUGAGAUACGGCCCAGACUCCUACGGGAGGCAGCAGUGGGGAAUAUUGCACAAUGGGCGCAAGCCUGAUGCAGCGACGCCGCGUGAGGGAUGACGGCCUUCGGGUUGUAAACCUCUUUCGCCAGGGACGAAGCGCAAGUGACGGUACCUGGAGAAGAAGGACCGGCCAACUACGUGCCAGCAGCCGCGGUAAUACGUAGGGUCCGAGCGUUGUCCGGAAUUACUGGGCGUAAAGAGCUCGUAGGUGGUUUGUCGCGUUGUUCGUGAAAACUCACAGCUUAACUGUGGGCGUGCGGGCGAUACGGGCAGACUGGAGUACUGCAGGGGAGACUGGAAUUCCUGGUGUAGCGGUGGAAUGCGCAGAUAUCAGGAGGAACACCGGUGGCGAAGGCGGGUCUCUGGGCAGUAACUGACGCUGAGGAGCGAAAGCGUGGGGAGCGAACAGGAUUAGAUACCCUGGUAGUCCACGCCGUAAACGGUGGGUACUAGGUGUGGGUUUCCUUCCUUGGGAUCCGUGCCGUAGCUAACGCAUUAAGUACCCCGCCUGGGGAGUACGACCGCAAGGCUAAAACUCAAAGGAAUUGACGGGGGCCCGCACAAGCGGCGGAGCAUGUGGAUUAAUUCGAUGCAACGCGAAGAACCUUACCUGGGUUUGACAUGCACAGGACGCCGGCAGAGAUGUCGGUUCCCUUGUGGCCUGUGUGCAGGUGGUGCAUGGCUGUCGUCAGCUCGUGUCGUGAGAUGUUGGGUUAAGUCCCGCAACGAGCGCAACCCUUGUCUCAUGUUGCCAGCACGUUAUGGUGGGGACUCGUGAGAGACUGCCGGGGUCAACUCGGAGGAAGGUGGGGAUGACGUCAAGUCAUCAUGCCCCUUAUGUCCAGGGCUUCAUACAUGCUACAAUGGCCGGUACAAAGGGCUGCGAUGCCGUGAGGUGGAGCGAAUCCUUUCAAAGCCGGUCUCAGUUCGGAUCGGGGUCUGCAACUCGACCCCGUGAAGUCGGAGUCGCUAGUAAUCGCAGAUCAGCAACGCUGCGGUGAAUACGUUCCCGGGCCU
RNAcentral lists this ribosomal RNA (1330 nucleotides) under uncultured bacterium. Its description in RNAcentral is "bacterial SSU rRNA". It matches the Rfam family "Bacterial small subunit ribosomal RNA", at positions 28 to 1381 of the family's 1533-position model. The record is from RNAcentral.